AGAAUGUAUCUCUUUUUUUUUAAAAUUCUUUAUUUAUAAAAAAGUACAUUUUUUUUUUCCACAGCUGAGCCACUAUUGGUUUUUAUACAAGUAAAAGGAAGGGCGAUGCAACACCCCACCCACACAAAUUAGAACCAUGAAAAUGCCCCCCCGCCCCCAAACAAACAAACUACAAAGGAUGGAAAACAAAACAACAAAAAUCAUUAAAGUCCGUUACAUUAUUAUUAUUUUUACUUUUUUUUUAUUUAUUUUUUUUUUUUACAAAAGCACUUACAACACAGGUUACCAAAAAAAAAAAAAACCAAGUGGGGUUGGGGUUGUCUGUCGUGUUCAUUCCACAAUGAUAAUUACAGCAGGAGGGAGAAGAAAAAGAGAGAGAAAAAUCACUGGAGUUAAGGAAUCGUGUUUAAAAAAAGGCAAAAUAAAAGAAAAACCAGAUUCUCAGCGAGAGUACCUCCACCAAUACCAGUUUAUGCCAGUGCAGGAUCUGAGUCCAUAUGCUCGGUACGUUCACCCCCAAGUGAAUUACAUAUGGAAAUCACACUGGUCUGAAGUACAAACUCAACCCCUCUAAGGCUCGGGUUUCCUUCCCUUGCUGGUGGGCUGUAUCCCCCCCUUUGCCCAUUGCAGAAGGCAGCCCAGCCGGGCUGUGCUCUGCUCAGCCCAUCGGUCCUGGGGAGAGGAGGAUGAUGAGGCAGCGGUUGGACCCAAGACCUGCCCACCCCGCUCAGAGCUGCUCAAACAGACAGCAAAUUGCGUGAAGUAGGAAAGAGUUGGGUGAAGCUGCAGGGUAGGGGAGGGUAAAGUGCUACAGUGAGCCCCGCAGAAUGAACAACAGGCAUCGGUGCGGGGGGGCUGGCAGCAUCUCCCACCGCUCGCAGCCCAGCAAGCAGACCCGAACACUUGGGUGAUACGACAGGAGUGGUUGUGAACACAGGAAACGUACAGUGAAUUUCUAACCUACAGCCUGCUCUGCUGCUUCUACUCUUAGCGCAAAAUGGGCCGGGGACAUCCCCUUCGUUCCCAAAGUACAGAACCUCUGAGCUUUGUGCAGCCUGCAGAUGUUAGGGAUUCACCCAUCUCGCACCCUGAGCGGGUAACAGGGUUUUCCCUCCACUCUUUGAGCAUAAUGGCUGGUGUCUGAAACUCCACAAAUCUGUGUGUGUGCGCGUUUGUGUAUGGCACAGAAAAACAGCAAAGGGGAGCAGCAGCCCCCAUUCUCAUUGCAUUCCCUUCUCUAAUUGCUUCAAGAUCAAUCUUUUGAAUGUCUCUUUCUCUCUAACCCUCAGUGAUUUCUGCUGCACGGUUGUGCUGGCUUUUUUACUCAACAUCAGGAAAAUGGCUCCCUUUGUCCCUUAUGUCUGUGCAAUCAAUUCAGUGCUACCACUUCAGUUUGUUUGAGUUUUUACUAUGAAAUCUUCAGCUUUUUUUUUUUUUGUUGUUCUUUUUCCUCCCCCUGGCUGAAAGAAAAUGAUCUAACAACAGGGGAAAAAGAAUCUGGUAAUUAAAUAAGAGAAAAUAGCAUCACUAGUGUGAAUUGCAACGAAUAAUCCUAGAGAUAAGCCCCAGUAGGAAAACAGAUGGGGUAUCUUUGUACAUAAACUAGAGGCUCGUUUUGGGUUGUGACACAGAUACGUCUGGUUCAGUACAGCUCCCUGAAUACACGCGGGCAAGGAGCAGGGGGCUCGGCCCAAAUUCACCUGGUUUCUGUUUUGAGAUGGGGACAUGCCCCACCAUGACCAGGGGGUUGGCCUGGGGGCUCCCACCCCAUCCUCUGCCAUUGGCUGUGAAGCAGGGAUGCCCCAUAUACAGCUGGGAGCUGUGCUGGGUCUCAUGGGGAUGUUUUACACCUCCUUAGCACCUCUGACCAAAGGGGACAGAGAUGCAGGGGAUUUGAGGCAGCCCGGGGUCCCUCAGAGCGGCGGCCCAGCCUGCGAGCUCGUGUGCACAGCUGGGAGAAGGGUGUCACCACCUAAAAUCAGCAUCUUGACUCCAGCCUGCCAGAAUUUGGCCCAUGGCGAGAAACUGAAGCACAAAAGGGACAAGCAACUCUGUCUCUCAAAGAAAGAGCAGAUUGGCCCUCUGCCCCCUGUGACCCCCAGGCAGAUUGUCCCCCCCAAGUGACUACUGCAUGGUCCCCAGCACUCUCAUUGCCCUGCAGAACCUCCCAGGGAGCAGGACGCACUUGAUCUUCAGUUUGGCACCUCUACUGAGCUCACCUUGGCGUUCACACAGAGACAGGUACCACUUCCUGAUGCUGCUGGAAAACAUGAUCUAAUUACCUUCAAGGGUCCCCUCAGAGCAAUUUAACCUAGUGGAGGGAGUGAUGCUGUUACUGGAUCAAAACAGCUCUCAGGUGAAACCUCAAUCUGAUUUUUUCCCCAUACUUCUUUUUUUUUCCUACCUUGCUAUGGAUUAAUAGCUAAUCACUUGGCUAAUUACCACCCCAAGAGUCUCUCGCCCAAUUAGCUGACCUUGCAAGGGACAGCAAGAAGCAAAUUACUGCACAGAGGUGGCAUUUCUCUAUGGCUGUGGGGAUGAUUGCACCAGUGGAGUAAUGCUGAGGGGCCCAAGGAUGAGAGGAAUGCACUAGUGAACCUUGAACCUGCAGGGUGCUGCACUGCUGUGCCAGGCAAUACUGUCUUAAGGAUCUUCCGCUCUAGGCUUGCCCAGGUUCUGGAUGAAAAAUAAUCGUUUGACCCUUCUGAGCCACAUUGGUGAGCUAAUUGGCUGCGCUCUUUCCUAGACUUGUGCAGUUUUGGGGAGCAAAACGUGUGAUGUAGCAAAAAGGGAAAUGCAUAUAGGCUCUAGCUUGGAAAAACCAUAUAGCUCCACCGUCUCCUUUCUCUGAGCCCCACUGUUGUUUUUGAGUCCUCAGAGAGCUGUGUGACAGUAUGUGAAUGGGCAACGAAUAACCCAAGGAGGCUACAUCUUAAAAAAAUGAUACCUCUGAGUGCAAGGCUAAUAACUACCGAAGCGUAUUUCUUAGGACUGCUUAUUUAUAUUUUCAGCAAGUUGUACCUUAAGUCCGGAACAGUCGUUCUGUCCUGUUCUCCCCCAGGCCUGCCUGUUUCAUUUGCAAGGCUUUGUGGCGCUGGUCUUUAGGACAGAACUGUACUGAGGGCUAAUGUGAAUUUUCCAGGUCAGCUCAGUGGCCCCUGUCUGUGACUAAUGCAGAACAUGAAAGAAUUGCUGAUGGGCUCUGCAGAUUUUAUAAAAGGUUGUUUUCUUCCCAAUCCACCUCCUUGCAGUAUGCGUUAUAUAUGUGCUGGGGGAAAUUCGCAGAGGAGGGUCUGUGCCACGGAUUCCCACUCCGCGCUUGGCCGUGGACCACCUGGAGUUUGGUGUUGGAGACGUGGUCACAACCCUUUAUAGAGCCUAGUUGUGAAGUUCAGAUCUAAAGGAUUAUUCACUUGAGAAAUAGACUUCGUUGGGAAUGAUCUCUGAAUCACAAGCUGUGCCGGCUCUGCAGCAUACCCCGUGUUACACUGAAGUGAGCUGUGGCUAAGGUGUAACGCUCAGCAAUGCUGCUCUGUCCUGAUCCAGAUUACAGGGUUCAGACUGGGGGGAAUUAAAGCCCUGUGUAUGCUCUUAUCCCAAGGCACGGGAGGAAAGUCACUCCUUCUGCGGGUUUACAACACCCCUAACAGUCAGCCCCUACUAGUAAUCAGAGAUAUGGAGAGAUGUUAGAGAUUCAACUUCUUUAUUGGGCUUGCUUGGUAGGCGGGUGCUCCUGAGUGGCAGUGGACGGACACAGGGAGGUUUAGCCAUGUUUUUUAAGAUCCAGCCCAGAGAUCCCAAGAGAAUCUCUGCUGUGUGGACACAAAGCAGCCUUCCUGUGGCAUGCGGCUCUUCUGCCAGAGGCCAGGAAGCAGGGAGGUCUGGCAGGAACCGCAGCGAGAUUACAGGGUAACAAUCGGAUUUCCCAGCCCACUACACCGCUAAGGCAAUAAAACCAGGGUACAAAGUGUGGACGGUUCGGGCUGAGCUUUGCGUUGUCUGCACCAAGGACCACAUGCUAAGGGAAAGCUGCCUGGAUCAGAGACCUGACCUUGACUCAUCUGCGUGGGUCUGGCUCUGCACCCUCCCUUUUGUAGCAGGAUAACCGCUGGAUGCUAUGGAACAAAACCCAGCGGGUAAGGCAGGAGGAGAAUUAGUCCUGCUAUUUUUAGAUGUGCAUGAUAAUACAGCUCAGAAAACUGGGGAUUUCUUUUCAAACAAAAGAUUUAUUUAUACAUCAAAUUAAAAAAAAAAAAAAAAACAACAAAAAACACAAAAAACAUCACACAAGAAGAAAAAUAAGCCCCAACCCAAUGAAUGUAAUUUGGAUAUGGUCAGUGUUAGUCAGAGGGCCCUGAAGUCUGGAAUCCCAUUUACCCACAGAGCAGAGAUAGCAGCAAUCCAAGCCUCCCCAUCACAAUGCAGCGGCUCAAGGGAAGGAGGAGGAGAUAAAUACCCCCGGCUCGCUCGCUCCUGCCCUAUCUACCAAACCUUUGCUUAGAAGUGGGAUGUGAUUUUUAAAAAGUGGCAAUCAAUGCAGACUAAGCAUCUUAUCCAGGGGCUGGGGUUGUUGCUAAGCGAGUUAGAGAGAAGCGGCCCUGUGUUCUGAUCCGAAAGAGAAACAAAAGUGUAAACACAUGACAAUUAAGUUUUAGUGGUAUAAUAACACUUAAGGGCCUGAUCCUGUACCGCAGCCCUCAAAGACACUGGAUGGUACCCUGGAGAUCUGCCCUGCUGGGCUCCACAGAGCAGCGCUGCAGGCAGUUGAGUUUGUGGGGAAAGCAAAGUGGUAUCUGUUGUUCCGCUCCCCCAGGGUUGUGGCAGCCAGGUGUGUGCAAUGGCACAGCCAGGUGUACGCAAUGACACAGCCAGGUGUGCGCAAUGACACAGCCAGGUGUGCGCAAUGACACAGCCAGGUGUGCGCAAUGGCACAGCCAGGUGUGCGCAACGACACAGCCAGGCGUGCGCAAUGGCACAGCCAGGUGUGCGCAAUGACACAGCCAGGUGUGCGCAAUGGCACAGCCAGGUGUGCGCAACGGCACAGCCAGGUGUGCGCAACGGCACAGCCAGGUGUACGCAAUGGCACAGCCAGGCGUGCGCAAUGGCACAGCCAGGUGUGUGCAAUGGCACAUCCAGGUGUGCACAAUGACACAGCCAGGUGUGUGCAAUGACACAGCCAGGUGUGUGCAAUGACACAGCCAGAUGUGCAGGACACGCCAUGCACAGCUGCUGGGCAGAGUUAACUGCUCUGCGGCUGGUACCAGCAACAACAGCAGCAACGGGGACAAAAAGAGCCAGCGUUUCUCUGAGCCAUCACGGGGGAAAAAAUGUCAGCAAUAAAUACUCCUUUUCUUUCUUCCAAAAGAACACUCAUACAAAGGCAGAAAAUGAAAAGCCAGGAAAUAAUAAAUGGUAGGAGGAAAAUGGCAGCUCUGUUUCCCUGCCCUGCUAUCAGCCCGUGCACCUGGGGUUUGUUCUAGGGCUUUUUCUCCCCUCUCUCUCAUUUUGCUUUUAUUGAGUCACUAAAAAGUGGGAGUGGAUCUCCCCAGGCAUGCAGCGGGCAGUGGGAAUGCUACCCACACCUCACUGAAAAGAAAGCGAUUAGGAAAAACACCAUCGGUUCACCUGAUAACAGCACCUAUGUCUCCAGUGCCAUGAGCUUCCCUGGCUUCCAGCCUUCUAUGGACAACCCACUUGACCCCUCCCAAGGUUAAAAACAAAACAAAACAAACCCAA
Molecule: long non-coding RNA, 5736 nt
Organism: Columba livia (rock pigeon)
Lineage: Eukaryota; Metazoa; Chordata; Aves; Columbiformes; Columbidae
Exons: 5
Source: RefSeq, a predicted model, not a curated record